GGGGGCCGAUGCACUGUAAGA
RNAcentral lists this microRNA (21 nucleotides) under Cricetulus griseus (Chinese hamster). RNAcentral describes it as "cgr-miR-128". Its record names the gene cgr-miR-128. RNAcentral also lists the same sequence under 1 other name. Lineage: Eukaryota; Metazoa; Chordata; Mammalia; Rodentia; Cricetidae. The record is from miRBase by way of RNAcentral.